UGAGCGGAAUGGUGGGCGCGGGGGCUGUGUCAGCGCUGCGGGGAUGAAAUGGCCGCUCACGGCCUCUCUUCAGGCCCCUGGGCUUGGGGAGCGGGGAUCCGUGGCCUUCCCGCACAAGGGCGCGUGAAGCCGAGUCCGUGAACGCGGAUUGAAUCAGUCUUGCAGCGAGGCUUCCAUCAAGCCAGGGUACCAGGUAGAGGUACUGAUCCUGCACCUCAACGUUAGGUAUUCUGAGUGGUCCCAUCAAGUUAAGUACAUGCGUUGGGAUCUGGACUUUAUAUUUUAAGCUUUUCAGGCUGGGGACUGUCGCCUACUAUGUGUUUGUACAAUGCCUUGCACAACAGGGCCCUAGUUUUGAUUGGGGCCAUUAGCCACUACUGUAAUACAAAUCAAAUUUAAAGAACAGCUUUUUGUGUUCAGUGUUUAUUAUUUGGUUCUUGUCCUUUGACUGAAAGGGGAACUACUUUAUUCAGCCCAUUAGUGCCUUACUGUGUGAGGUAAAAGGUACAAUUCACAAUGAAUAAUAUGAAAUAUGCUUUCAGUAUAAUUUAUCUGGUACUUGCUAUUUCUGAGCUCUUCAAAUGUGCUGUUGGUAAUAUGUACGAUAUGUGUGAUAAAGCAGGUUGAAUGGGUUUCCAUAUUAUUGGUAUAUGAGACAAGUUCACAUUUUUAGCAAGAUGGCUACUGUCGACAGUAAUUUAGCUGUUUGUAAGAUAAACCAUGGACUACUUCAUUGGAUUUCAGCAUGCUUUAUGCAUGUAUUCAACGUUUUAUUUCAUAGGUUCUCUUAAAUAAUUCUGAAUAGGGCUGUUGAUUAAUUGCAGUUAACUCAGGCAAUUAUCUCAAAGUUAAUUUGAUUAAAAAAAUUAAUCAUGAUUAAUCGCACUGUUAAACAAUAGCAUACCAAUAGAAAUUUAU
Chelonia mydas (Green sea turtle) is the source of this 918-nucleotide long non-coding RNA. RefSeq lists it as uncharacterized. The record is from RefSeq and is a predicted model, not a curated record. Lineage: Eukaryota; Metazoa; Chordata; Testudines; Cheloniidae. The transcript has 3 exons.